Molecule: unclassified non-coding RNA, 343 nt
Filed under: soil metagenome
Description: partial contains 5.8S ribosomal RNA, internal transcribed spacer 2, and large subunit ribosomal RNA
Rfam family: 5.8S ribosomal RNA (bases 1-120)
Source: RNAcentral
GAUGAAGAACGUAGCGAAAUGCGAUAAGUAAUGUGAAUUGCAGAAUUCAGUGAAUCAUCGAAUCUUUGAACGCACAUUGCGCCCGCUAGUAUUCUGGCGGGCAUGCCUGUCCGAGCGUCAUUUCAACCCUCAAGCCCCCGGGCUUGGUGUUGGGGAUCGGCGAGCCUCCGCGCCCGCCGUCCCCUAAAUCUAGUAGCGGUCUCGCUGUAGCUUCCUCUGCGUAGUAGCACACCUCGCACUGGGAAACAGCGCGGCCACGCCGUUAAACCCCCAACUUCUGAACGUUUGACCUCGGAUCAGGUAGGAAUACCCGCUGAACUUAAGCAUAUCAAUAAGCGGAGGA